This 329-nucleotide long non-coding RNA is filed under the name Mytilus galloprovincialis (Mediterranean mussel). Lineage: Eukaryota; Metazoa; Mollusca; Bivalvia; Mytilida; Mytilidae. The record is from RNAcentral.
CUUUAUUAUUUCUUGAUAUUUGUAAUUUUAAAGAUACACUAUUAUGGUCAGUGUAUUGAAUAACAAUUGGUCUGAUAUCACAAGAGGAGCAAUUUUUUUUAAUUUCAGUACUAACAAGCAAGUAAUCAAUUCUUGUGGCUUCUGUUUUAUUUCUUUUACACCAUGUGAACUGAGUUUUAUCUCUGUUUUUUUCACGCCAUAUAUCUGUUAAUUUUAAAGAUUGUAAUUAAAGUUUUAAUCCGCAGACUGGAUUAUCAAAUUUUAUUCUUUUAUUUUUAUUUUUUGUAUCUUUUUCAGAUAAAAUAUCGUUAAAAUCUCCUCCUAUUAUC